ACCGUGAGGGAAUGGUGAAAAGUACCCCGGGAGGGGAGUGAAAUAGUACCUGAAACCGUGUGCCUGUAAGCCGUCAGAGCCUUGUGGGGUGAUGGCGUGCCUUUUGAAGAAUGAGCCUGCGAGUUAGUGAUACGUGGCGUGCUUAACCCGUGUGGGGUAUGCGUAGCGAAAGCGAGUCUGAAAUAUGGCGUUUGUCGCGUGUUCUAGACCCGAAGCGGGGUGAUCUACCCAUGGUCAGGUUGAAGCAGAGGUAAGACUGUGUGGAGGACCGAACCCACCAGGGUUGAAAACCUGGGGGAUGAACUGUGGGUAGGGGUGAAAGGCCAAUCAAACUCCGUGAUAGCUGGUUCUCCCCGAAAUGCAUUUAGGUGCAGCGUUGCGUGGUCCCUGGUGGAGGUAGAGCUACUGGAUGGCCGAUGGGCCCUGUGGGUUACUGACGUCAGCCAAACUCCGAAUGCCAUUAGGUGUAGCGUGGCAGUGAGACUGCGGGGGAUAAGCUUCGUAGUCGAGAGGGAAACAGCCCAGAUCAUCAGCUAAGGCCCCUAAGCGUGCGCUAAGUGGGAAAGGAUGUGGAGUCGCGGUGACAACCAGGAGGUUGGCUUAGAAGCAGCCAUCCUUGAAAGAGUGCGUAAUAGCUCACUGGUCAAGUGGUUCUGCGCCGACAAUGUAGCGGGGCUCAAGCGUACCGCCGAAGCUGUGGCAGCAACACGCGAUUCUGGCGCCAGGAACUGGAGUGCUGGUGUGUUGUUGGGUAGGGGAGCGUCCUGCAUGAGGUGAAGCCUGGAGGUGACUUCUGGUGGAUUGUGUGGGAGUGAGAAUGCAGGCAUGAGUAACGAUUCUGCGGUGGGAAUCCGCAGCGCCGAUUGACUAAGGGUUCCAGGGCUAGGUUUAUCCGCCCUGGGUUAGUCGGGUCCUAAGGCGAGGCCGACAGGCGUAGUCGAUGGACAACCAGUUGAUAUUCUGGUACCGCGUUGUGACCGCCCGUGCUGAUGUCACUGUGCUAACCAAUUCGCCUGCGCUGCUUUCAGGCUUUCGGGUUUGAGAGUGUGUGUGGGUCUUGGGGUCCUGGUGAUAGUAGGCAAGCGUGUUAACAGGGGUGACGCAGACAGGUAGCUGCAGUGCGCCGAUGGUUGUGCGUAUUUAAGGUUGUGGCCCGCCGCCUAGGUAAAUCCGGGUGGUGUUAGGGUGAGGACUGAUGAGGGACACGUGUGUGCGUGGACUUGUGGUGAUCCUAUGCUGUCAAGAAAAGCCUCGACGUGAGGGCAUGACGCGCCCGUACCCUAAACCGACUCAGGUGGUCAGGUAGAGUAUACCGAGGCGUUCGAGUGAAUCAUGGUUAAGGAACUCGGCAAAAUUCCUCCGUAACUUCGGGAUAAGGAGGACCCCGUGACUUCCCAACACCGUGCGUGUUGGUGGGGUUGUGGGGUCGCAGAGAAUAGGGAGAAGCGACUGUUUAUCAAAAACACAGGUGCGUGCGAAGCCGUAAGGCGAUGUAUACGCACUGACGCCUGCCCGGUGCUGGAAGGUUAAGAGGAACUGUUAACACCCCCUUGGGGUGUGAAGCGGUGAAUUUAAGCCCCAGUAAACGGCGGUGGUAACUAUAACCAUCCUAAGGUAGCGAAAUUCCUUGUCGGGUAAGUUCCGACCUGCACGAAUGGCGUAACGACUUCUCCGCUGUCUCGACCAUGAACUCGGUGAAAUUGCAGUACGAGUAAAGAUGCUCGUUUCGCGCAGAAGGACGGAAAGACCCCGGGACCUUUACUAUAGCUUGGUAUUGGUGUUCGCUUGGACUUGUGUAGGAUAGGUGGGAGACUGUGAAGCUGCCGCGCCAGCGGUGGUGGAGUCGUCGUUGAAAUACCAUUCUGGUUCAAGCGGUCACCUCAACCUUGGCCCGUGAUCCGGGUUGGGGACAGUGCCUGGUGGGUAGUUUAACUGGGGCGGUUGCCUCCUAAAAUGUAACGGAGGCGCUCAAAGGUUCCCUCAGCCUGGUUGGUAAUCAGGUGGCGAGUGCAAGUGUACAAGGGAGCUUGACUGUGAGACCGACGGGUCGAGCAGGUGCGAAAGCAGGAACUAGUGAUCCGGCCAUGGCACGUGGGUGCGUGGUCGCUCAACGGAUAAAAGGUACCCCGGGGAUAACAGGCUGAUCUUGCCCAAGAGUCCAUAUCGACGGCAUGGUUUGGCACCUCGAUGUCGGCUCGUCGCAUCCUGGGGCUGGAGUCGGUCCCAAGGGUUGGGCUGUUCGCCCAUUAAAGCGGUACGCGAGCUGGGUU
Molecule: ribosomal RNA, 2270 nt
Filed under: human gut metagenome
Description: bacterial LSU rRNA
Rfam family: Bacterial large subunit ribosomal RNA
Source: RNAcentral